AGUGACGCCAUCAGCCGUCGCCUGAGCCGUGGCGCGCGGGUGGCCGAAAGGCGAAAGUGAGAUUUCAAGGGCCGGGUCUGGGGCCCCGCGGGCGCGCAGUGCUGCGGCGUGUGGGGAGUACGGGGAGGCUGGAGAGGAGCCGGCCCCGGGCAGUGUGAGGUGCGGAAGCGCGGUCCAGACACUUUGCUGACGGGAGGCCGGUCCGCCAGAUCCGGGAGGUGGGGCCUCGUUCUGGACUGCUGUACGUAGUUUUAUUCCUGGUCAUUUUUUUCCACCGCCAAAUCGAGAGAUAGAGCUUUGGAUCAUGAGAGAUGGCGUCGUGUUGGGAAAAGAGCCUUCUUUACCUGAGUUUAAGCUCGGCUCAUAGACAUCCUCUACCUGAGUUUACACGUGUGUAAUAUGAAGGCAGUCGAUUAGGAGAUGUCUAAGAUCAUUACUUACACCUCAAGUUUCCAAGGGGAGGAAGACACGGGAAGGAUGCGUGGUCUGUGCCAGACUUUGUAGACGAUUCACUGAAUGACCCUGAUUUAGCUCUUCCGGCCCUCUUCGAUUCAGCUUGGAAGCAAGCAUAAAUAGUGAUUGUUGUCUGUAUACUUCUCUCGGAAGGAAUGCUGUUAUGGGAGUUGUGGGUUCAUUUUUAGGUGUCUGAAGAAGUUUCAGGACUUUUGAAAUGAUAGUGGAGCCCAUUGAACUCAGAAUUAUCCCUUUCUGGUCUAGUAGGAGUAUAGUGGCAUACGGAAAAUGAAGCAAACAUCAAAGACAGAUGUACUGGCACAAGAUUAAAAGUAUGUCUCAGCUGACAUAGUUGCCAUUUUAAGACUGCUUAGUUUAGCUGAAUAUGCCUGGAUUUUUUUUUUUUUUAGCAUUUUUUUUCUUUUUAGCAUUGGCAUACCAUAUGAAAUGUGGGCAGUUGCCAGUACUCUACAGAGUACCAAGGCAGAAUUGGCAAUGACUAAAUCAAUUCAUUCAAACAAAAAUUCAUCAUGUGCCUACUGUGCGCAUAAUUUGUGGAAUCAAAGUCUCUUGUUUCCAGGGGCUUUACAGUGUAAUAAGUGCUAUAGUAAAUAUAUAUACGGAGUGGUAACCAUCUGCCUAUUCCUCUCCUACAGUCGUUGCUGAGUUCCAGUGUAGAACAGAGCACUGCAUUGUGUAUCUCACCACUACUGAUUUAGAUUUUAUAAUUUCAGCUGCAUCCCUCCCUCCUACUUUGUAUAUUCUUCAGCAUCUUUUUCUCCCUUUCCACUUGAAUACUUUUCGCAAUCUUUAAAUCCCAGCCCAUUUUAUUAUAUGACUUUUAACUUAGACUUCACAAUUUUCCAAGUGCUAGAAAUUUCCUGAGAUUGCCUUUUCUCCAGUAUCAACGAAUGAGAGACUCCCUGUUCAUAUAUGAGAUAAACUCUUCAUACAUAUUCUAGUUCCAAUACCCCUCUUUCUCAUGCAUUUAUUAUCUUUUCUGUUGUCAACCUUCUACAAAUUCUGGUUCCUUAGCUAAUUCUUCUGUAGCUUUCAAUUAUUUCCUUCACAAGCAAACUUUCUUUCUUUAAAAAGUAUUCUAUACUCAGGAGGCUGAAGCAGGAGAAUCGCUUGAACCUGCGAGGCGGAGUUUGCAGUGAGCUGAGAUCCUGCUACUGCACUCUAGCUUGGGCGACAGAGCGAGACUCCAUCUCAAAAAAAAAGUGUCUACAAUCAGUGUCUUUUUUGUUUUCUGAAAUUGACUUGUCAGCCCUCUGCAGUCUAGUCUCUGUGUCUAUCGUGCUGUGCUACCAAAAAUGCUCUCUUUAAAGUAAUCUCAUUGUUUGGAAGAAAAUGAGUUUUUUGUUCUUUAAUAUAAUAGUGAAAUGAUGAUCCUGUUUCACUAGUAGGAUAAGGUUCAAAACUAUUAAAAUGGACAAGGCAUGUAAAGUCACUUUCUUUUAUUUUUAUCUUUUUUUCCCCCCGUUAGAACCUCUGGCAGGGACUGACUAGCCCAUGAAACUUAUUUCUUCUUCCCGGGCACACAGCUAAACUAAAUUUCACAGCUUUCCUUGUAGUUGGUUAUAGUCAUGUGAUGAACUUCUUUUUUUGAGACAGAGUUUAGCUCUUGUUGCUCAGGCUGGAAUGCAAUGGCACAAUCUCAGCUCACCGCAACCUCCGCCUCCCGUGUUCAAGCGAUUCUCCUGCCUCAGCCUCCCAAGUAGCUGGGAUUACAGGCAUGUGCCAUCACACCCGGCUAAUUUUGUAUUUUUAGUAGAGACACGGUUUCUCCAUGUUGGUCAGGCUGGUCUCGAACUCCCGACCUCAGGUGAUUCCCCCACCUCGGCUUUCAAAGUGCUGGGAUUACGGGCGUGAGCCACCGAGCCUGGCCGUGAUUAACUUCUAGCCAAUUAAAUAUGAAUGGAAAUGAUGUGCUCAUUUUUAGGGUUAAUGAAGUCCUCCUAUUCUCCCUUACUCUUUCUUCGUCAACUUGAUGCCUUUGAGCAUGGUGACCUUCAAAACUAUGUAUUGGAGAUGCCAAAGCCAGAAAAGAGAAGAAUGAGUGGCUGAAACAGUACUUGGAAGACAGCCACCCCAAUUAGAAACACCCCUUUUUGCACUUACUGUAAGAGAAAAAAUUGAGAUUUGAGAAUUUAUAUGUAUAGGAGCUAGAAUGACCAUAGCUAGUCCAGAAAUUGGUACAAGAAGUGGAGUACUGCUAAAACAAUAACCUAAAAUAUGUUACAUCAGCUUAUUUAUGAUGCAGCAGGUGGUAGAGAAUGUGAUUUGGAGGCUAGAAAAAGGAGGCCCAUGUUUGCAGUGGCAAAGUAAUUAGUAAAACUGUCACCUGAAAUAAUUCAAAAUCAGAUCACCUAUCUGUUUAGAUUAGCUCCAGAGGAAAUGAUUGAAAAGAGCAAAAGUAAUACUGUGUUGAAUUUUACAUUUUACUUUUAGUAAGGUUUUACUAAAGAGAGAAACUCAGGAAAUACUUCACAGAAGUGAGAGUGUACAGGAAUAUUUCUCAGGAAGGGUUGGAAAAGUUGACUUUUAUAAGACUUCUAAUAAAAAAAAAAAAAAAACUAGAAGAGGUCUUGAGUAUAGUUACCCUUGAGAUUAAGUCCUGCAACAAAGAUCAGGAAAAGGGUUUGGUCUUUCCAUUCAAAGUCAUUAUUUUAGAUGGCUUCAAGAUAGCUACGAUAAAGGUCUAAAGGAACUGGCAUAGGAGCAAGGCAGCAAAGCAGUAAAUUAGGCUUGAUAAUUAUGUAAGAAAGAACUUUGGGUGUAGUUACCAGAAGCAAAUCAAUCAGAAGACUACAUUUUUAGAGGAAUUUUAUUAAUCAUACUAAAUCUGGCUCAAAUAUCAUUGUUCGGGUGUUAAAACAGAGGGUAACUGUCCAACCCCAAGCUUGCAUAAGUAGAAAAAUAGAGCAUAAAACCUUAACAGCUCCCCAGUACCCACACAGGAUGUGGCCAUGGAGAAUGAUGGACAAAAAAAGAACAUUUCAGAAGCUCGUAUAAGGAGCUGUACUAAAGACUGGACAGGGAGUUUCUCCUGAAGACUAGAAUUGGAGUUUCAUCAGAACUUUCUUCAGUUUCAAGGAGAUGGGCCGCAAAAUGUUUAUGCAGUAUUUCAUCAUUAUUAUACAUGAAUAGUAUUGCUCAGUAUCACAUUUUUUUUCUGAAUGAGAGAAUGUAUUAUAGUUAUCUGUCCCUGAGUUACCACUAUAUAUUGGGUUUGCAGGGAUGGGGGUGACAAUAAAGAUAAUUUGUCUUUUUAGU
This 3732-nucleotide long non-coding RNA is filed under the name Homo sapiens (human). RNAcentral describes it as "HSALNT0320226". The record is from RNAcentral. Lineage: Eukaryota; Metazoa; Chordata; Mammalia; Primates; Hominidae.